CUUGAUUCUUAAUCCUUAUGUAACAAACCAGAACACAUGUGGUGGUGAUUUUUGCCUCUGUAUUAUCAGCUUCUGGGUUACAGAAGGGAAGUUGGGAUAUGAGUUUCCCCAAAAACCACUUUCUGGGUUUUCAAAUUCAGAGGAAAGUUUGAGUUUGGGAAUUCUUUUCUCAUAUCAAAAUCUAUGCUUUUGAGCUCAAUAUCAGGUAUUAGACUUUCAUUUCUCUGGUCUAGAAGUCCAUAGAUUGUUUGCACCUCUCAAUUUUUUUUUAAUUAAUUGUCAGCUAUCUGUGAUGAAGAGUUUGGGAAUCUGCUGUGGAUGUUCAUUAAUCCAGGUUUCUUUUAAGAUUGCCGGCGACUGUAUCUUGGAAGUUUGAGAAUUGGGAUUUCAAGUAUGAAGUGUUAUCUGUAAGGAUGUGGUUAGAUGCCUGUGAAAUUCAUGCUUGAUCAUGUUGAAACCGAUAUUUUCACGCCUUUGAAAUGCAAGAAUCAAGAUUUCAGGAGUGAAGUAAGCUAUAUCUUAUAGUGAGAUGAGGUGCUGAUUUUUUAGUUGCUCUUUGUGUAUGAUCAUGAAGAAGUAGAAAUAAUUUCUGGGUUUGCUAAUUCAAAAAAUCAGGAUUUCAUUUAUAAGCAAAUGAUUACUUUCUGAAAUUGAUUGAUAAUUCAGUGAGAUAUUUUGUAUGAUCAUGGAGAAGCAGAGCAGUUUUAAGGGACGAACAAUGGAGAAACAGCAAAGUUUUAAACAGAAAGUGAUGGAAAAACUCCCUAGUUUUCGAGGCGGAACGGAAAACCAGUCCACUUCCCGUGGAGUAAUGGAAAAGCACCCCAGUUUUCGUGGAGCACUCGAGAAACAGAAGAGUUUUCGUGGGUUUAUGGAAAACCAGAAGAGCAUUCGUGCUGUGAUGGAGAGGCAGCUCAGUUUUAUUGGCGGUGGUGAGAGGAAGAAGAGCAAGGAGUCGCCUGGAAAGCGAGGUGACUCACAGAUUCAUUUGGCAGCUCGUGCAGGAAAUUUGAGUAGAGUUAGGGAGAUUCUUCAGAAUUGUGAUGGUAAUGAUGCAAAGGAUUUGUUGGCAAUUCUGAAUCAAGAAGGAGAAACUCCCCUCUAUGCAGCAGCAGAAAAUGGUCAUGCGGGAGUGGUUGCAGAGAUGUUGGGAUACAUGGACCUGGACACUGCUUCUAUUGCAGCUAGGAAUGGAUUUGAUCCAUUCCAUAUUGCAGCUAAGCAGGGUCAUCUUGAGGUGUUGAAGGAACUCUUGCAUGGGUUCCCCAACUUGGCCAUGACCGCAGAUUUAUCUUGUACAACUGCCUUACACACAGCUGCCACUCAGGGAUACAUUGAUGUGGUGAAUCUCCUUCUGGAAACAGAUUCAAAUCUAGUUAAAAUUGCUCGGAAUAAUGGUAAAACUGCUCUUCAUUCUGCUGCAAGGAUGGGGCAUUUGGAAGUUGUGAGAUCCCUAUUAAGCAAGGAUCCAAGCACUGGCCUUAGAACUGAUAAAAAAGGACAAACUGCACUGCACAUGGCUGUGAAAGGGCAAAAUGAGGAAAUUGUUCUGGAAUUGUUAAAAUCUGACCUCUCUGUUAUGAGUUUGGAAGAUAAUAAAGGGAACACAGCAUUGCAUAUUGCUGCUUACCGGGGUCAAUUAUCUGUGGUUGAAGCUUUGAUUGUUGCAUCUCCCUCGUUGAUCUCUUCAACAAACAAUGCUGGAGAAACCUUUCUUCAUAUGGCUGUGUCCGGAUUCCAAACUCCUGCCUUUAAAAGAUUGGACCGGCAGAUUGAGCUUAUGAAGCAGUUGAUAUGUGGGAAAUUUUUCAAUGUGGAAGACAUCAUCAAUGCCAAAAGUAAUGAUGGAAGGACUGCACUCCACACAGCCAUCAUUGGGAAUGUUCACUCUGAUCUUGUGCAGCUCCUGAUGUCUGCUCAGUCAAUAAAUGUGAAUGUCCGUGAUGCAGAUGGGAUGACCCCUCUUGACCUCCUUAAGCAACGGCCAGAUUAUGUGUCAUCAGAUAUUCUGAUUAGGAAAUUGAUUUCAGCAGGUGGGAUAUUUGGUUGUCAGGAUUAUACUGCAAGAAGAGCCAUUGCCUCCCGCUUGAAGAUGCAAGGUAAUGGAGUCAGUCCUGGAACAUCAUUCAGAAUCUCCGAUGCAGAAAUCUUUUUGUAUACAGGUAUUGAGAUUGCAUCUGACAGCAGUGCUGAUCCAGCUAGUGAAGAAAGGAGUUCAUAUUCAACUGAACAUCUAGACUCAACCAAUGAGAACCAGAGCUCAACAAUUAAUAGGAAGUUAGGCUCUGUGAAUAAUGCAGCACAACAGUUGAAAAGAGUUCUCCAUUGGCCCCGUCUGAAAGAGAAAAAACCUGAAAGAUUCAGGAAAUCAUUGGAUCAAGUUUCUGUGGAAUCAUGCAAGAAAUGCAAUGGUUCAGAAGAAACUCCAACCCCACUUCGACAGAGAUUCAUGAAGCCCUCGUCUCCUUCUAACCACAAGAGGACACUUUCUGUUAGGAGUAAUCAAUCAAGUCCAACAGCCAAGAAGAAAUUUGCUUCAGGCAUAAUGCAUGGUGUUAUGCAGGCUAUGCCACAAUUAACUCUUCCACGUCGAUCACGUUCGAGUUCAUUUUCAAAAUCAUCCAUAUCUUCCCCUGGUUGGUUGGAUAAACAAAAAGGAGUGUUUCUUGACAGUGAUGUUGCCGGCCCAUCAUCUUCCAAUCAAUCAUUUGAUGAUGGAACACCAAAUGUGAUUGGGAAAGAAGGACCCACCAUGAAUAAGAAGUUGAGGAGCCAAUACUUCUGUUUCGGUGCAUCUGGCCUUUCUGCUAAAAUCCCAGUUACCAGGCCACGACAAAGCCAUAGUUCAAAUCCUUCUGUUCUUUCAGUGGCUUGAUGAAAACCAAAAAAGCUAUGCUCUUGCAGUGAUGCAGGAGUCAUAGAAAGAAAGGAGCCCAAAUCUGAAAGCCCAGAAGGAAGCAAGCAGUAAACUAGAAGAAGAUUAACAAACUCCCUAGCUGUUUCCUUCGUGUUGCAUGUCUUUUCCUUUGUAGAAGGUUGUCUUGUUGAAUAUGAGAUGGCCAUGUAAUCGUACUUAAAACUUUCUCUGAAAGUACAUCCUGUGCUUUAUGUUGCGUAAAGUAGUGGAGAAGUGUGGUAUUCUGAGCAGUUAAGCACUUAUUUUCUUCUUCCAUUUGUUUUUUUCAUUCGACUAGGAAAAUAGAAGUGAUUGGCACCUUGGCAGUCGAGUUUGCAAGAAAGAGGAAAGUAUGCUUGAGUUAGGAGUAGAAGAAGACUGCUGAUAAGUGUCUGAAGUCGAAAUGUUUUAUGUGAAACCAGGGAACCAUAAUCUAAAUUGCUUGCUUAGUUAAAAGCUGGG
This 3358-nucleotide unclassified non-coding RNA is filed under the name Hevea brasiliensis (rubber tree). Lineage: Eukaryota; Viridiplantae; Streptophyta; Magnoliopsida; Malpighiales; Euphorbiaceae. The record is from RNAcentral.